Xenopus tropicalis (tropical clawed frog) is the source of this 263-nucleotide non-coding RNA. NCBI's taxonomy places the organism in Eukaryota, Metazoa, Chordata, Amphibia, Anura, Pipidae. The record is from Rfam.
UGGCUUUCAUUAGAGGUGACCAGUUGACAUAAGGUAAAAUCUACAUUGUGCAGCUCUUAUUGUGUGUGAGGGUUGGCCUCAUUAACCAGCGCUAACAAGCCGUGCAAAUGCUCUGAUUGGGCAGCUUUUAUUGGAUAGUACCAGGCCCUUAGCAGGAUACCCACUUAAUGAGGGUCACCACAAGAGAAUGAUAAAAUAUUCAACGGGGGACUUUUCAUAUGGAACGAUAAAGUUGCAGCGACUUGACCGUUUAAAACAUAAUC